AGUGACGACGGGCACAAGCCUGGGACAAGCCUGAUUACCCGGCUCUCAAGUCUGGAAUGUUCACGAUGUAUUUACUGGUGCCGGACAAGUUUAUCAGGCUUGGCACAGGCUUGUGUUCCCAGGCUUGACACCGGCUUGCAAAAAAUUAUAAAAAAAUAUAAAUAAACAAUUAUUAUUAAUUCAUUAAUUUGACAUUAUUAUUUUUUACGCGAUACAAUUGAAACUAACGAUGAAAAUAUGAACGAAAAUAAACGGCGUAACGGAGGAUCGAUCCUAGGUCACGUGCACAAAACAAGAAACUUAGAAAAAAUAACGAAGUUCCCCCGCCGGGAAUCGAACCCGGGUCUUUUGCUUGCCGGGCAAACGCCUUGACCACUAGACCACAAGGCUUCUUAUUAUUUCUAAGUUUCAUCGAGUUAACUCCGACGUCCUUCUAUGCGUCAAUUCAUUUUUUGAAAAAAAAUUUCACGUGGAACUCCAAUGCUCUAUCGAGUCAACCACCGGGGUAUUAAUGAAAGAUUCAGCCAAAAUUUUUUAUAUGAAUGAAUUUAUUCGAGAGUCAAUUCACAGUCCUUGUAAGAGCCUGUCAAGAUAGUCAAAACCUAAUAAUUGUUAUUUAAAAUUUCUAUUUACAAUUUAUAGAUCUAAUUAAUAUAAUUUUUUUUUUUUUUAUUGAAUAUAUGCGCAAGUCAAGUCCCGUGUGAGACUUGGUUAAACGGGCUUGACACAAGGCUCGUGUGAGGCCGGGGAAAACAAACAACACAGGCUUGACACAGGCUUGGAUUAUUGAGGCCUGUGUGAGGCCGGUUAAAAACAACGGGGACAGUCUUGUGUCAAGCCUGUGCUCCCAAGGCUUGAUACACGACUACAAUGAUUGCCUUACGUCAUGGAUCAUGUUUCGAUGCCCCGUUUAAAUCAUUGUCUUCACGUUGGACGUGAUUUAUAUUAUUUUAGAAAAAUAAAAAAUAUAGUUGACUUUACUUUUUUGAUGACUCUCCAUUUUUUUAUCUUUGAAUACAUUCUACGAAAAUCAUUUUUUUGUAAUUUCAUGUUGAAUUGAUAUUCAAGUUAAAAAACUGAAUGAUGACGUCAGCUUACAGUCCUAUGAUAGUAUUGAAAAAUAAAUGAAUAAUAAUAAAAACUUAAUAUUUUGAGUAAAUUUAUUGCUGACAAGAAAAAUUUUCAGAAGUAGAUCUAAAAUAGAGAAUAUUUUUGAAUGAUUUCGAAAAAUUUUUUUAAAAUUUCGGAAAAAAUUUUAUUGCCUAUUUGGUUGUCUCCCGAAACUUGGCAAAUCUACUUUACCAUCAGUCAGUAAAGUAGAAAUCUUCAUUACCGACCACGAUGAAAGUUUCCUGUGUCAUCUGACAAUACAAUAAAAUUUUUUUAAAUUUAAUUUUAAUUUUUUCCUAGUUACAGCAACAUCCAAUUUAAAAAUAUAUAUGUAUAUAGGACAUGAGACAUGAAACUUGAGACUUGAGCUAGUCUACCAGGGCUUAUACUAAAACACUGAGAAUAAAUGAAUUCCGCUUGGAUAAAUUUGUAGUUGAGCAAAAUGGCAGCAGCUGACUCAUCAACGGACGACAGUCUUUAUCCAAUUGCAGUUUUAAUAGAUGAAUUAUAAUAUGAAAAUUUACUACUGCGAUUGAAUUCAAUCAAAAAACUUUUAACGAUUGCCUUGGCACUUGGUGCUGAACGUACUUGUAGUGAAUCGAUGCCUUUUUUCACAGAGACAAUUUAUAAUGGAGAUAAAGUUUAGUUUAGUUUUUAUUGUUUAUUGCCACCACUUGAAGCAUUAGCAGCUGUUGAAAAAACAGUUGUACGUGACAAAGCAGUUGAAUCGUUGCGUAUUAUUGCAAGUCAACACAGUCCAGCAUAUCGUGACAAUCAUUUUGUUCCAUUGGUACAACGUUUAACAUCUGGGGUGCUAUUCUUGGUCCCGUAUUGCGGGAGUUAUCGCGAGUCCUGCAAUAACGAU
Molecule: long non-coding RNA, 1975 nt
Organism: Aphidius gifuensis
Lineage: Eukaryota; Metazoa; Arthropoda; Insecta; Hymenoptera; Braconidae
Exons: 3
Source: RefSeq, a predicted model, not a curated record